This 407-nucleotide ribosomal RNA is filed under the name uncultured bacterium. RNAcentral's name for it is "partial 16S ribosomal RNA". It matches the Rfam family "Bacterial small subunit ribosomal RNA", at positions 30 to 526 of the family's 1533-position model. The record is from RNAcentral.
AUUGAACGCUGGCGGCAGGCCUAACACAUGCAAGUCGAGCGGAGCGGCGGACGGGGGAGUAAUGCCUAGGUAUCUGACUGGUACUGGGGGAUAACGUCAGGAAACGGGCGCUAAUACCGAAUACUAUUAGAAGAGGCUAGGUCGGAUUAGCUGGUUGGUGGGGUAAAGGCCUACCAAGGCGACGGUCCGUAACUGGUGUGAGAGGAUGAGCAGUCACACUGGAACUGAGACACGGUCCAGACUCCUACGGGAGGCAGCAGUGGGGAAUAUUGGACAAUGGGCGAAAGCCUGAUCCAGCCAUGCCGCGUGUGUGAAGAAGGUCUUCGGAUUGUAAAGUACUUUAAGUUGGGAGGCGUUACCAACAGAAUAAGCACCGGCUAACUUCGUGCCAGCAGCCGCGGUAAUUC